GACAGAGGGUGCAAACGUUGUUCGGAAUUACUGGGCGUAAAGCGCGUGUAGGCUGCUCGGAAAGUCGGAUGUGAAAGCCCUGGGCUUAACCCAGGAAGAGCAUUCGAAACACCCGAGCUUGAGUACCGGAGAGGAAGGCGGAAUUCUCGGUGUAGAGGUGAAAUUCGUAGAUAUCGAGAGGAACACCUGUGGCGAAGGCGGCCUUCUGGACGGUUACUGACGCUGAGACGCGAAAGCGUGGGGAGCAAACGGG
This 253-nucleotide ribosomal RNA is filed under the name uncultured bacterium. RNAcentral describes it as "partial 16S ribosomal RNA". It matches the Rfam family "Bacterial small subunit ribosomal RNA", at positions 524 to 776 of the family's 1533-position model. The record is from RNAcentral.